This 388-nucleotide ribosomal RNA is filed under the name Embryophyta sp. RNAcentral describes it as "partial small subunit ribosomal RNA". It matches the Rfam family "Eukaryotic small subunit ribosomal RNA", at positions 582 to 975 of the family's 1831-position model. Lineage: Eukaryota; Viridiplantae; Streptophyta. The record is from RNAcentral.
AUUCCAGCUCCAAUAGCGUAUAUUUAAGUUGUUGCAGUUAAAAAGCUCGUAGUUGGAUCUUGGCUCGUAAGGGUCGGUCCGCCUACUCGGUGUGCACCUGCCCUUCCGUCCCUUUUGUCGGCGGCGUGCUCCUGGCCUUAAUUGGCUGGGUCGCGGUUCCGGCGCUGUUACUUUGGAAAAAUUAGAGUGCUCAAAGCAAGCUUAUGCUCUGAAUACAUUAGCAUGGAAUAACGUGAUAGGAGUCUGGUCCUAUUGUGUUGGCCUUCGGGACCGGAGUAAUGAUUAAUAGGGACUGUCGGGGCAUUCGUAUUUCAUUGUCAGAGGUGAAAUUCUUGGAUUUAUGAAAGACGGACCACUGCGAAAGCAUUUGCCAAGGAGGUUUUCAUUA